RNAcentral lists this long non-coding RNA (614 nucleotides) under Malus domestica (apple). RNAcentral describes it as "long non-coding RNA (MDOM_LNC017348)". The record is from RNAcentral. Lineage: Eukaryota; Viridiplantae; Streptophyta; Magnoliopsida; Rosales; Rosaceae.
GAAGAGGUUGUUGAGGAGUGAAGUGUGUUGGAAGGCAGUUGGAGAUGGUGAUUCUUCUUCUACUUCGUUUAUAUUGGAGCAAUAUUAGAAAAUAUGAAAAUAAUAAAAGAAUUUCAAUGAUACUAAUCAUAAAGAAAAAACAUCAAGUAUGCAAGAUUAAUACAAACAACUAGAGAGAAAGUAAGAAAGAUUGACAAACUUGGAGAUUGAGGUUUGCAUAAGAAAGAUUGACAAACUUGGAGGUUGAGGUUUGUAUAAAUGCAAUGUCCUAAAGACAGAAUUUCAUCCAUACUCUUGUGCUUAUAGUUUGGUAGGUAUCCGUCUCCUAGGAUUCAACAAUCUAUAAUCCGAAGUCAAAGCACUUCAAUCUUUGGACUCUGACGAACUUUAUAUAUUUUGUACUCUCAGGACACGACUCAGAGUUUGACUAACAAAGAAUAAAAGACAUUGGAGAAAACUCUUUUCUUCGAUUCAUUAGACAUGUGGGAUGUUUGAGUUUAUAUAGAACUCAAGCCACCCCUUUCGAAAUAUAGUGAAUGUUGUCUAAAGUUCCAAUGAAUAGAUGCAACUUAUGAAUUUAAAUUCAACCAUAACACUUGCCUCUUAUUUUUCAU